GACCGUCCGUCGUUUGACAAUAUCGAAAGUGCGGCCGAGGGAAGAGCUGUUCAAUCAUGCAUGUCUCUACUUGGUGUGCAUGUUUGAUAUUCACCCGAUCGAUGGAGCAAUUCCAUCUCGGUGAGGUACACGUGAGAGUGCAGUCACGUUGGCACGUGACUGUGUGAAUAUUGAUGUCGAUUGAUCACGGGCAUAGAUGCGCAUCGUGGCUAGAUGCAUCUCAACUGUGCGUAGAUUCCAGCUGUCGUAAGUGCUUUUGAGAUUACAAAGAAAUUUCCGUUCUCCAUUAGUCAGUGCUUUCCUUGCGAAUUGAAGAUUAUUUGUUUAGCCUUUAUUGAGACUAAGAGGAUUUUCAAUUGGUUUUGGCACUACUUAUUUUUUAUUUUUUUUAUUUUUUUCGUCGAGUGUUUUCCGAUGAAUCUCGGAACUCACGUGGAAAAACAACAGUGUGUCUGUCGUUGAAGGUCAGUCGCACAGAGCACCAGCAAAUGUCCACGUGUCAAUUGAUACUGACGUACGUGGUCUUCCAUCAGCGACCGACAACAAUAAAACGGAAACAAAGGUCCGUCAGAAGAGAUCAAAGAGCUCAAAGGCCUUUCAAUCUCUUUCAGGUUAAAAAUAACAAGGGUCGCAUCCUACACAUAAAGGAGAAUUACUGUAUCUAUUGUGUUUCUCUGUUUUGGAACAUCGACGCAAUGCUGUACAGCAUUAUUUUAUAUCUUUGAGCAUCCACACAAUUUGUGAGGAUUUCCCCGAAAUGUUUGUAAAAGAAAUUUCUAUCAAUCCUUUUUAAAUCCCUUUUAUUUAUCGUUGUUUAUUGUUUGGUCUGGCCAAAGAAUGACGUCCAUUUUUGUUUUUAAUACCAGACUUCCGUUCAAAGAACUGGGAGAGGAUUUAAUCGAAUUAAUGGAUUCGGGCGCAUCGACGUCCGUCUGUAUAUCCUCUUGUGGGAAAUGGCUAUUAUUGGCCGUUGAACCUUUUGACACAUUCCCGAGUCAAACUUCGCCACCCUAAAGGGAUAGGAAAUUAAAAUGCAAUCAAUUUCUAGCCAAUCUUCAAAGGCGGAAGCCAUUUCGGUGCGCUAAUAGAAAUUAUGGCAGGGCAUCGGUGCAGAACGCCAGAGCAUUCUGCAUGUGUAACGGAACGUGGAUAACAGACGAGCAUGUUCCCACGGAAUGAUAUCAUAUUCUCGGUGACGCUCGCCUUUCCUUUUUGGCAGGAAAUUGAAUCUAAAAAUAAGUGCGGCAGUGUUGCGAAAAUGCGUCGCCAUGCCGUGUACUAUACACGACUGGAACGUGUCUGUGCAGCGGGACCCAUCCCACGUAGUACGUACAUAUGUAUCCAGCGCUCUUCUGCUCAUCCUGCUGACUACCCCUGUAUAUAUUACACGUAUAGACGGAACGCGUAGCAACAGUUGUAUGGGAAUCGCUAUUUCGAUGGAUGGAUCAAACUGUAGAGAAGGUCACGCUACCGUGAACAAAGAUCCGCAUUGGCGACGACUCAUUCCACCUUUGGUGUGUACUGCCUCUCGCCCCAUCUGGGCCUUUGCUGCUUCUAACGGCCCGUGACAAUUUCAAAUUGGCAAGGAAAGUUGGUCGAAUGUGACACUCUGCAGCUUUGACAAUUCAUACGGUUUGGGUGAAUCUAAUUCUGUCCAGACCAAUCUUAAAAAAGAAAAAAAAAAAAAAACAUUUUCGCCUGUACAACGACUGACCCAUUGACCCACUUUGGAGUGUGCUGCAGUUGCCAUUUCACGCGUUGCGAUUCAUAAUUCGCGCCCCCGGACAGCAGCUGCCUCUUUUGCUGGCGUGUUUUUUGCUGUCUUCGGCGACAUUCCAUUUUAACAGCACCCCUCUUUCUCUCUUCGUCUAGCCUCAUCACCUCUACAAUGAGAGAACAGAGCGGGGGAAUUCUCAUUGGCUCAAAUUAUUGGCUGCAGUGAGAGAGAGACAUGCAGUCUGGGUGACAUCACGCUAGUAUUACAACAAUGCUGAUGCAGCGCAGGCUGCCGCCCCUGCAGUCAAACACGGUUUCUCUUUCUUCGCUUUUGUCAUCCCGUCCGCCCGUACAAUAAUGCCGUCAGAUUUAAUGGCUCUACUUGGUGAAAUAGGGCCACUCGUGUCUUUUUACGAGCCGGGAACAAAUAUAAGGCAAUUUCGCUAUUUGUAAAGGUUCCAUUCCGAUGAACAAGAGCCCCGCCAAAGUGCGCCACAACGACGACAAAGAGCUAGAAUACGAUCCACUAAAGAAAUCAGGUCGAGUCGAGCAGUCUCAGCGAUUCGACAAAGCAAUCCAAGUUCACUUCCUCCCUCCUGAAUCACUGAGCAGGAAUGAGAGUCAACGCAAAGAGGCGAUGCACGGUGGAGGAGUCAGAUUACCCGCAUGUGCACAAUUCUAACCUUUAAUUCUCAUAACUGAAUCAGGGAAGAGCAAAAAGCGGAUCAGAUUAUGUUGUUCCCUCGUUUUGUAGCCUCCAAUUGUUUGUCCCUAUUAUUUGCGACUUUUCCUUUUUCUGGUUUUCCUCGGAAUUUAUCGAACGAUUCCGAGAGGCCGCUCCGCUUAGGAUGUUAACUGUAUAUACUACCUUAUUCUUAAAUGAUUAGUCGUGCAUACGAGUUAAUUAGGCCAGCUAUUAGAGAAAAGGGAUCAUUAUGUUUCCGUGCGGAUUGUCCACAUCCGUUGCGGAGGGGUCACAUCCGCGCAGCGUCCGCAUCAUUAAUCUCUCGUCGUGCGUGCGUGGCGACGGCAAAGCAACUGGCAAAGAAUAGACACGAUGCAUUGAAAGCUGAAAAAUAUUGCACGGCAGCAGAACACCCCGCUCCAGCCCGAUGCAUCACGGAAACAAUUUACUUACCGCCACAGAAUGGAUGGGGCCAGCAGCCGUCUCAUGUGUCCUCGGAAAAUGUAGCCAACACACAUAUACACGUGAGUUUAAAAAUGAUUGAUGAAACCACUUUGUGCUCGACUCAAAGUAAGUUACUAGUAGUACGGUAGUAUCGGAUCCCAUCCAUUCGGCAGCGUCCAAUUCGCAGCCGAAAUAGGACAUUUAUUUGCAGAGUGAGACGUGAGAAAACUGUAUCCUUCCAUGUUUGAGAUGUGGCAGGAUCAAAAGACUGGACUGUGUGACUGGCUUUUGGGCAAAUAACUCGUCCGCAACUUGAAUCUGGUCAAAUGUGCGCAAGAAAACGUGCGGAAUCCGCACUCGCUGACUCUUUUUUGAGAGUCAAUAAGAUGAAAAUCGGGAAUGAUGUGUGCCAUAAACAUUUGUGAGUUGCGAUCUGUAAUUUCUUUUGGCAAACUGUAUGCCAAAAAAGUUUCAUAGCCUUGACAAGAAGAAACCGGGUCGAGCAUGAGCGCUAGGAAAUAGAUUAUGGGAAAAUAGGUUGCAAGAACUGGCCCAGUUUUUCGGAGAAAUCCGGGAGCAAUUUCAUACGAUACCUCACUCUGAAGUACGCAGGGCGGUAUCUUAUUUAAUUAAAAAAUACUGUCGACUUUUAAAUGAUAUCAGGUUGUACGGUACGGCAAAAGUAAUAUUGAACAAAUCGAGAAAUCGUCGAGUGGUCUGCAACUCGAUACGAAAAUCCCGCCGUGUAGACGUAAUCUUGGCGUAUCAAAAGUAUAACCGCGCGUUUUUGUUUUAUAGGAGCGAAGCAGCUGCCCAUAAAACUUAGUUUUUUUCCCCUGACGUACAUUUGAUAAGAAUUUGUAUUUGUCGUCCGUGCUGAUUACAGUUAAAAUAGUCACCAAGUCUUACAUGGUGGUACGGGCGUUAUCAAAAGGUAGUGUAACACAGUGCAUGGCCGAAUGCGGGUGAUAAUAGUGUCUCGACUUGAGAAAAAAAUGGAUACAUUUCUCAAGCUUCUUGUCUUCCUUUACUUGGCGGGAGGUAGCUCAGCUGAUUGCACAACCAGCAAUGACGGUUCCUGCACAUGGAUAGUGGCAAACGCAUGUAAUAGUCCCAAAUUUUACUGCGGGGAAGAGGCCGAGUGUCUUGUCGUGACUAAAUCUCUCAACUCAUCUUAUUGGCUGGAGUCGAGCUCCGCUUCCAACCAGCAAUUCGAGUGUCGUUGUCCCGUGGGGGCCACAACCAACUGCAAAAAUCCAGCUUUGAAGUGUACUUCACAUCGUCCUACGGACAGCUUUGUGAAGAUUUCAGUCGAUAAUAUGCCGACAAAUUCUUCCAUGAGUGUCGUUUACGCCGAAAUGUGGAGGUGCCCCAUUGGAGAUAAUUCUGCCAUACAAUGUCCGUCAGGAAAGAUGAGAAUUGGAAAUGAAUUGGGAUGCAAUAGUGCCGCCCAGAUGCUCCCAAAUGUGUUCGCCCUCGUACGAUUUUGGUGUCAAUUCAAAAUCAACGCAUGCGAAUUCGAUUCAUCGCUUAUUCUGUCACACGUUGGUCAGUCACUCGCACAACCGGAGACUUUACCUGGAAAUUACGUCUUUGAAUCAAGUGUAGUCACUGAUCAACAAAAAACCUUCCAAUGCCCUGCACAAUCGGUCAUGGAUAGCGGCACGUGUUACAGGAUGACCCCGAUGAACCUCGAAUGGAAAGCUGCCCGAUCACAUUGUCUUCAGCUUGGAGGCGAUUUGGCUCAUUUUACCAACUACACCGAUUUUGCCUCCAUUUUGCGUAGAUUGGACAAUACCAUUCCGACUAAUUUGACAUCUUUGACAGCUAUUCCUACCUGGUUUAAAUUUUUCACUUGGACUGGUGAACAGCGGACUCCUCAGAACUUUCUGCAGUACACGGAUGGCUUCCAAUGCGACGUUUAUAAUCUCCAGCGCGACGUUGGAGCUAAUCCACAUUCCAGGUGUAAAUUUGGUGCACGAUUGAAAAAAAUCCGCGGGUUGUGCGUUCUACCCCCCAUAUUGCCAUCGGAGAAUUUCAAUUAUGAAAAGCUUUCAUGCCCUGUCAAAUGCGACGUCUCCGGGUAUACAGGCUAUUGUUGGGAAGCAGAGGCCGAUACAAAGGUCUCAACUAGUUGUCCGAAUGGAUUAAGUGGCUUUGCAACCUGGACUUGCGGUAUUGAUGGUAAAUGGACAACUCCAUCUCCUGAUCAAAGUAACUGCACCAACCCAAUCGUCGAAGAUUCAAUCAACCAAGCCAACAAAAAUAUCACGAAUGGUGGAAAUCCAAGCGAGUCAUUGAAUGGUAUCUCCACUGUCCUUAAGGAAAAUGAGAUGGCGACCGCCAACAUUGUUCAGCUUGACAUGACGGUCCGAUUAGCUAUAGAAAAGCAAACGGAAUUAUUAAGUGCGAGUACGGACGUCAAUUCAAAAGACGCCAGCAGCAAGAAUUUCACCAAUUCAAUAGUAGAUGUGAAUAAUGAACUGCUAACCAACGACCUGGCGUUUUGGGGCUUGGACCCUAUUUCUCGUAGUGAAGCUAUCGAUCAAGUGCAAAAGAACAUCGACGACACCUUAUUUUUGCUGGCUGAUAAUCUUCUUGAUCAAGUUUAUAAAACAGUUUAUCCUAACAUCGCCGUGCAGGUGGAAAGGAAAAUCAACGCGGAUUAUAAAAACCAAACGUAUACUUAUGUGACCGGAGAUAAAGAUCAACUGAUCCUUCCAGCCGGAUUUCCCUAUGCGGUCGACGAUACAGAAACCCGACUUUCUUUUGCAACGUACAACGCAUUUCAGAACCUUCUCUAUGGCGACACAUUGGCUCAACUGUCCGCGGAAAACGAAACCAUAUUUGAACCAAUAGGACAAGUCGUGGUGUCUAAAGUACUGGGUGCUACACUUGGUCAACCAAACGGAUCUAUCCAUUUUGUUGACGGAAAGGUCGAAAUUCUUCUGAGUACUUUGAAUCUUGAUCGAUAUGAAGUUAAUAAGACGACUGCAACUUGCGUAUUUUGGGAUACUUUGACUCAAGAGUGGUCAUCCGAUGGGUGUGAAGUGGUGGAAACUAACGGUACAUCAACCACAUGCCAGUGCGAUCACUUAACCAAUUUUGCAGUUUUAAUGGAUAUCAACGGCCUCUUUGAAAAUGAGAAGAAAACCGACUACCCCGCACUAGAUUACAUCACCAUAAUCGGCGGAAGCAUUUCUAUCGUUUGCUUGACGUUGGCUGUCAUUAUCUUUUACUGGAAGCUAUUGCCAACCGGGAUCUCUGCCUAUCCAUCGCCGUAUUCCUGCACUUUUUUUUCCUGUGCGCUUUCAGCUGGAUGGUUGUGGAGGGUCUUUAUCUCUAUUUCCUCAUCACUAAAGUUUUCGAUGGAAGUGGAUUGAAACAGUGGCAGUACUACGUCAUCGGGUACGGAGUACCUGUUUUAACUGUUACCAUUACUCUAGCCGUAACCAAAACGGAAGCUUACCUCGGUGAUCCUUUUUUAUAUUGCUGGUUAAGUUAUGAAAAUGGGGCAAUAUGGGCCUUUGCUGGACCGGUUGCAGCCGUUGUUUGU
Molecule: unclassified non-coding RNA, 6401 nt
Filed under: Daphnia pulicaria
Lineage: Eukaryota; Metazoa; Arthropoda; Branchiopoda; Diplostraca; Daphniidae
Description: adhesion G protein-coupled receptor L4-like, transcript variant X6
Source: RNAcentral